AUUGAACGCUGGCGGCAGGCUUAACACAUGCAAGUCGAGCGGGGUGAUGGUGCUUGCACUAUCACUUAGCGGCGGACGGGUGAGUAAUGCUUAGGAAUCUGCCUAUUAGUGGGGGACAACAUCUCGAAAGGGAUGCUAAUACCGCAUACGUCCUACGGGAGAAAGCAGGGGAUCACUUGUGACCUUGCGCUAAUAGAUGAGCCUAAGUCGGAUUAGCUAGUUGGUGGGGUAAAGGCCUACCAAGGCGACGAUCUGUAGCGGGUCUGAGAGGAUGGUCCGCCAAACGAGGAGUGGGACACGGCCCGGACUCCUACGGGAGGCAGCAGUGGGGAAUAUUGGACAAUGGGGGGAACCCUGAUCCAGCCAUGCCGCGUGUGUGAAGAAGGCCUUAUGGUUGUAAAGCACUUUAAGCGAGGAGGAGGCUCUUUUGGUUAAUACCCAAGAUGAGUGGACGUUACUCGCAGAAUAAGCACCGGCUAACUCUGUGCCAGCAGCCGCCGUAA
This 503-nucleotide ribosomal RNA is filed under the name uncultured bacterium. RNAcentral describes it as "partial 16S ribosomal RNA". It matches the Rfam family "Bacterial small subunit ribosomal RNA", at positions 30 to 523 of the family's 1533-position model. The record is from RNAcentral.